GUAGUUCAACGACUUACCCUAAACUUUGUUACGAAUCUCUCUUAACACAGGCUAGCAUGAUCCAAACAAGCCCCCAACUCAUCGCCCAUGCAGCCCUAAACGUGACCCUUUCAACCGCCAAGUCAACCUCGGCCAUGAUGGUGAAGCUUGCCAAAAGCCAAGGAUUGAAGCCUACAGAGGUGGGCGCCAUGCAAGAUUGCGUGGAGGAAUUGGAGGACACGAUAGAUGAGCUGAGAAAGUCAAUCAGCGAGAUGGGUCAGAUUAAAGGCUCCAAUUUUGGACUAAUGAUUAACGAUAUACAGACAUGGGUUAGCGCUGCUUUGACGGAUGAGAACACCUGCGCCGACGGGUUUGGAGGGAAAAACAUGAACGGCAGUAUAAAGACUGCUGUGAGAUCCAAGAUUGUCACAAUCGCUCAUUUGACAAGUAAUGCCUUGGCUUUGGUCAACAGCUAUGCUUCAUUUCAUGGUUAGCUAUUUAAUCAACUGUACAGGGGAAAUUUAGUCAUUAUUUACGGUAGCAAUUGUAUUUAUGGAUUUUUAGAAACUACUUCUGUUUUCCUGGUAAAUGUAAAAUAUAUAUGUGGUCCAAAGAAGGGAAUGGAGAUGUGUGUGUGUGUGUGUGUGAUCUUGGUGUCUUAAUGAAAAUGAACGGAGUGAUCUAUAUUAUGUGCACACGUUGUAUCUGUACAAUAAAUUGCUUUUUGUGAAC
RNAcentral lists this long non-coding RNA (711 nucleotides) under Gossypium barbadense (sea-island cotton). Its description in RNAcentral is "long non-coding RNA (GBAR_LNC002032)". Lineage: Eukaryota; Viridiplantae; Streptophyta; Magnoliopsida; Malvales; Malvaceae. The record is from RNAcentral.